RNAcentral lists this long non-coding RNA (297 nucleotides) under Volvox carteri. RNAcentral describes it as "long non-coding RNA (VCAR_LNC004021)". Lineage: Eukaryota; Viridiplantae; Chlorophyta; Chlorophyceae; Chlamydomonadales; Volvocaceae. The record is from RNAcentral.
GACUAGGGAAAGGAGGGGAGGGGCAUUGGUAGUUCGUGGUAAAAGUGUUCAGGUGAAGGAUGGUGGAUACGGCGCGAGCGAGGCGCUGCAGCGUGGCUCCUGCAAUCAGUAAGAAUUUGGAGGUGCAUGAGGGCUGCCACAGGUGUGUGAAGAAAGCCGGCGAAUCGAACAUUGGUCCAGACGUGUGAGCUGCCUGAGCUGGUGAGGUCUGUUGGGAAGAGAGAAGAGCGUUAGAAGGCAGAGCAGGUGGCGAGGGUGGUUUUGAGCGUCCGGCAUCAGGGAUAAGGAACGACAUUG